This is a long non-coding RNA of Corythoichthys intestinalis (scribbled pipefish), 2488 nucleotides long. RefSeq lists it as uncharacterized. The transcript is spliced from 3 exons. NCBI's taxonomy places the organism in Eukaryota, Metazoa, Chordata, Actinopteri, Syngnathiformes, Syngnathidae. The record is from RefSeq and is a predicted model, not a curated record.
GCGAUUCUGAUUUGGGGGCCCGGGGGCUGAAUCUAACGUAAUCAUUCUCGAAGUGAGAUACGAGGACCAAUAAUCAUAACCUGUCAACCCGAGGCCGUUGGCAAUCUUACAAAUAGUGACGUAUGCCCUUUAAAACUGACAGUGGCGCCUCCAGAAAUUGUUCAUAGGGGUGGCCAGACGGGGCCACUUAAAAUCUUGAGGUGGCACACCAAAACUAAAAAACAUAAUUUCAGGUUUUUAUUAUAUUGUUGCAGUAAAAGGCCAGAAGAAAACUAUCAGAAAGACUUAAGGACACGCCUACUAACAUACUUUGGUGUAUUGUGCUAUAUUUAAUGUUACUAAUGAUUUAAAGAGCAUAUGACACGAGAAAAAAAAGUCUUAAAUGGCAUUAUUAUGUGAAUUAGAAUCAUAUUUUGAGACGAUUCGACUAUAUACAACAAUUUAGAAACGCACAGUUGACGAGAAAUUAGUCUUUUAAUCUGCCGGUUAGCCACGCCUGCCAUUAUAGGGCUUUAGCGUCCCCAACACGUGGAUGACGUCAGCGGUAGACUGGGCUCAUCGGUUUUACUAUUCAGCCCAUUGAGGGGGAAUUAUUCAGAACGAGGAAAACGCGACGAAGAGAGCCGCAAAAUGUCAUUGUUUCAGUCUCUCUACUCCAAUAUUUUUACAGGAUAUUCUUUUUAUCCAAGUAUUUUUCCCCAAUAGCUAUAUAAAUGGCUUGAGAAGGACCAGUCAGCCCGUCGAGGGGGAACUAUUCACAACGAGGAAAACGCGACGAAGAGAGCGGCAAAAUGUCAUUGUUUCUGUCUCUUUACUUCAAUAUUUUUACAGGAUAUUCUUUUUAUCCAAGUAUUUUCCCCAAUUGCUAAAUAAAUGGCAUGUUCAUGACAAAUAACAGUCUUGUGCUGAAUGGAAUAUGAAAUAAUAAAAAUGCAUUUAUUCAGGACGACAUGGCAAAAUUACUCCAUAAUGGUCAAAAAUGUCGACUUCACCUUUACUGUCGCACCUCCCGAACGAUAUUUUAUGACACCUGAAUCGGACAUAUGUCAUUUCCUUUCCCUGGCUUCGGAGAAUGUAAACAAACCAGAAGCCGUGACAGCUAGCCGACAUGCUAACCCGAACCGAGUGAUGUUUCAAAGUCUUCGAAGUGGAAAAUCACACAUAACUAUCCUGGAUUAUUUGACAUGACGACCCGGUUGUCGAUUGUCUUAGGGGAUCGGCAAACCGCCCGGCGGAGAGCAAUUUACAGUUCGUUCCCCGGAGGAGGGUGGCUGGAUUUUUUGUGCAGCUAACGUGCUGCUGAUAAUGAGCAUUAGGAGAGCUUUUUACAUGCCUAUCAAUGAUCAAACGUAAGUAGUCCUUCAUUUAACCCCUUAACGCCGAAUGUCGCGAUUCGGCAUCAUACCGUUCCCGCUUUGAAAGCGGCCAAAAUAUCGUCUGCCUUUGUUCACUGCCGGUACAUUAAUGUCAAACACAUGCCUAGGAACCUUUUUCAAGCAUUAGUUUCAGUCGUGUCCGACCAGAGACAACACCGCUUCCUUUUCCGGACCGUGAUAUUCAAGAUGAAAGCCACGUCGAAGUCCUGCGCACCAACUUGACUAAUUCAUUCAAUUCAAGAAAUACAAAUGAAUGCAGCAGCUUUUUACGCAAAGCUAGCACACCGUGCCAAACCACCUCCUGUUGAGAGUGCUCUCAGUGAGAGUGAGGGCAGCAAUGAGGAGUACAAUCCUAAUAAAGCAAGUGAAGGUGAUGAAAGCAGCAGCAAUGACUCUACAGUGGACAUUAGCAGCAGUGAGGAAGAUGAUGAUGAUCCGCCUCAUCCACCUCCAACCACCAGUGCUGCACCUGCAAGACCUUCAAGAGCUACAUCAAGGGCAGAUCGAGCCUAAAGCAAUAUAUCCAAAAAAAAGCCAUACAAAUUGGGAUACAAGAUUUUUGUACUGUGCGACACAAGAGGUCUGGUGCACUCAUUUGACAUAUUCACAGGGAAAAUAGAUCCGGUACCAGGCCAACCAGACAUAGGAGCCAGUGGUAACAUUGUGCUCAAGCUUGCACAAGUCAUUCAUCCUGCUGUUCUUUGAUAACUGGUUCUCAUCUGUAGAUCUGUUUGUUGCUCUUGCAAAAAAGGGCAUACCUGCACUUGGGACCGUGCAGCACAAUCGCCUGCGUGGGUGCUGUUUCAGUGCAGACUCAUAGAUGAAGAAGAAGCGAAGAGGGACAUUUGAAGAGCAAGAGGCUCUUGUGGACAAUGUCUGCAUAAGAGCAGUCAAAUGGUUUGACAAUAGAGGGGUGAUUGUUGCCAGCACAUUUGCCAGUGCCCUGUCUGUUAUGAUAAAAAUCAUCUUUUAUUUAUUUAUCUACAUCAUAUGUCUUCUAGUCUGAUUAAAAAUGUGAUGUACAUCUGUGUUUAAACAAAAACAAUAAUUGUUUUUCAGAAUUUCACAAGCAGUGAAAAAAGAUGUUGCGAUAAAAGUGUGUUCAGACCUGA